UUCUUAUCCAGAGAGGUGGAGGGACUUGGCCCUGCGAUACCUCGGCAACAGACUCAACUCUGAGCACUGUGCCACAUCCAACAAGCGAAGGCUUGGAAGAUAAGAA
Molecule: non-coding RNA, 106 nt
Filed under: Bacillus sp. (in: firmicutes)
Lineage: Bacteria; Bacillati; Bacillota; Bacilli; Caryophanales; Bacillaceae
Also listed under: 1 other name
Description: Bacillus sp. SAM-I sequence
Rfam family: SAM riboswitch aptamer (S box leader)
About the family: The SAM riboswitch is found upstream of a number of genes which code for proteins involved in methionine or cysteine biosynthesis in Gram-positive bacteria. The SAM riboswitch acts at the level of transcription termination control.
Source: RNAcentral